AACUAUGUGCCAGCAGCUGCGGUAAUACAUAGGUCGCGAGCGUUAUUCGGAUUUAUUGGGCGUAAAGCAAGCGCAGGCGGAUGGAUAAGUUCUGUGUGAAAAGCAGCUGCUCAACGGCUGUUGGCGCCGAAUACUAUCCAUCUAGAAUACGGUAGGAAGUUUUGGAAUUGAAUAUGGAGCGGUGGAAUGUGUAGAUAUAUUCAAGAACACCAGAGGCGAAGGCGAAAACUUAGGCCGCUAUUGACGCUUAGGCUUGAAAGUGUGGGGAGCAAAUGGGAUUAGAUACCCCAGUAGUCCACACCGUAAACGAUGGGUAUUAAGUCUUGGGGCUGGAGCCUCAGGGUUGGAGCUUACGUGUUAAAUACCCCGCCUGGGUAGUACAUAUGCAAAUAUGAAACUCAAAGGAAUUGACGGGGACCUGAACAAGUGGUGGAACAUGUUGCUUAAUUCGAUACUACACGAAAAACCUUACCAAGAUUUGACAUCCCUCGCGAAACUUUAGAGAUAAAGUAGAGGAUAUCGAGGUGACAGGUGGUGCAUGGUUGUCGUCAGCUCGUGUCGUGAGAUGUUGGGUUAAGUCCCGCAACGAGCGCAACCCUACUCUCUAGUUGGUUGUUUAGAGAGACUGAACAGUAAUGUAUAGGAAGGUCGGGAUCACGUCAAAUCAUCAUGCCCCUUAUGUCUUGGGCUGCAAACGUGUUACAAUGGCAGGCACAAAGUGCAGCGAACUAGCGAUAGCAAGCAAAUCACUAAAAACCUGUCUCAGUCCGGAUAAAAGGCUGCAAUUCGCCUUUUUGAAGUUGGAAUCACUAGUAAUCCCGUGUCAGCUAUAUCGGGGUGAAUACGUUCCCAGGUCUUGUACAC
Molecule: ribosomal RNA, 864 nt
Filed under: uncultured Mycoplasma sp.
Lineage: Bacteria; Bacillati; Mycoplasmatota; Mollicutes; Mycoplasmatales; Mycoplasmataceae
Description: bacterial SSU rRNA
Rfam family: Bacterial small subunit ribosomal RNA
Source: RNAcentral